This 428-nucleotide ribosomal RNA is filed under the name uncultured marine eukaryote. RNAcentral describes it as "SSU rRNA". It matches the Rfam family "Eukaryotic small subunit ribosomal RNA", at positions 834 to 1259 of the family's 1831-position model. The record is from RNAcentral.
UCUUAUUUUGUUGGUUUCUAGGACCGAAGUAAUGAUUAACAGGGACAGUUGGGGGCAUUCAUAUUCCAUUGUCAGAGGUGAAAUUCUUGGAUUAACGGAAGAUGAACUUCUGCGAAAGCAUCUGCCAAGGAUGUUUUCAUUGAUCAAGAACGAAAGUUAGGGGAUCGAAGACGAUCAGAUACCGUCGUAGUCUUAACCAUAAACUAUGCCGACUAGGGAUGAGGAGUCGUUAACUUUGUACGACCCUCCAUGCACCUUAUGAGAAAUCAAAGCCUAUGGGUUCCGGGGGGAGUAUGGUCGCAAGGCUGAAACUUAAAGGAAUUGACGGAAGGGCACCACCAGGAGUGGAGCCUGCGGCUUAAUUUGACUCAACACGGGAAAACUUACCAGGUCCAGACAUAGUUAGGAUUGACAGUUUGAGAGCUCUU